Molecule: ribosomal RNA, 451 nt
Filed under: uncultured bacterium
Lineage: Bacteria
Description: partial 16S ribosomal RNA
Rfam family: Bacterial small subunit ribosomal RNA
Source: RNAcentral
GUGGGGAAUAUUGGACAAUGGGGGGAACCCUGAUCCAGCCAUGCCGCGUGUGUGAAGAAGGCCUUUUGGUUGUAAAGCACUUUAAGCGAGGAGGAGGCUACCGAGAUUAAUACUCUUGGAUAGUGGACGUUACUCGCAGAAUAAGCACCGGCUAACUCUGUGCCAGCAGCCGCGGUAAUACAGAGGGUGCAAGCGUUAAUCGGAUUUACUGGGCGUAAAGCGCGCGUAGGUGGCCAAUUAAGUCAAAUGUGAAAUCCCCGAGCUUAACUUGGGAAGUGCAUUCGAUACUGGUUGGCUAGAGUAUGGGAGAGGAUGGUAGAAUUCCAGGUGUAGCGGUGAAAUGCGUAGAGAUCUGGAGGAAUACCGAUGGCGAAGGCAGCCAUCUGGCCUAAUACUGACGCUGAGGUACGAAAGCAUGGGGAGCAAACAGGAUUAGAAACCCUUGUAGUCC